Molecule: ribosomal RNA, 451 nt
Filed under: uncultured bacterium
Lineage: Bacteria
Description: partial 16S ribosomal RNA
Rfam family: Bacterial small subunit ribosomal RNA
Source: RNAcentral
AACGAACGCUGGCGGCAGGCUUAACACAUGCAAGUCGAACGGGUGUAGCAAUACAUCAGUGGCAGACGGGUGAGUAACACGUGGGAACCUUCCUAGGGGUACGGAACAACUCAGGGAAACUUGAGCUAAUACCGUAUACGUCCGUGAGGAGAAGGAUUUAUCGCCCGUAGACGGGCCCGCGUCGGAUUAGCUAGUUGGUGGGGUAACGGGCUACCAAGGCGACGAUCCGUAGCUGAUCUUAGAGGAUGAUCAGCCACACUGGGACUGAGGCACGGCCCAGACUCCUACGGGAGGCAGCAGUGGGGAAUCUUGGACAAUGGGCGCAAGCCUGAUCCAGCCAUGCCGCGUGAGUGAAGAAGGUCUUCGGAUUGUAAAGCUCUUUUGCCAGGGACGAUAAUGACGGUACCUGGAGAAUAAGCCCCGGCAAACUUCGUGCCAGCAGCCGCAGUAA